GAUGAACGCUGGCGGCGUGCCUAAUACAUGCAAGUCGAGCGAACGGACGAGAAGCUUGCUUCUCUGAUGUUAGCGGCGGACGGGUGAGUAACACGUGGAUAACCUACCUAUAAGACUGGGAUAACUUCGGGAAACCGGAGCUAAUACCGGAUAAUAUUUUGAACCGCAUGGUUCAAAAGUGAAAGACGGUCUUGCUGUCACUUAUAGAUGGAUCCGCGCUGCAUUAGCUAGUUGGUAAGGUAACGGCUUACCAAGGCAACGAUGCAUAGCCGACCUGAGAGGGUGAUCGGCCACACUGGAACUGAGACGCGGUCCAGACUCCUACGGGAGGCAGCAGUAGGGAAUCUUACGCAAUGGGCGAAAGCCUGACGGAGCAACGCCGCGUGAGUGAUGAAGGUCUUCGGCUCGUAAAACUCUGUUAUUAGGGAAGAACAUAUGUGUAAGUAACUGUGCACAUCUUGACGGUACCUGAUCAGAAAGCCACGGCUAACUACGUG
Molecule: ribosomal RNA, 497 nt
Filed under: uncultured bacterium
Lineage: Bacteria
Description: partial 16S ribosomal RNA
Rfam family: Bacterial small subunit ribosomal RNA
Source: RNAcentral